This 74-nucleotide transfer RNA is filed under the name Candidatus Magasanikbacteria bacterium RIFCSPHIGHO2_01_FULL_33_34. RNAcentral describes it as "tRNA-Gln". It matches the Rfam family "tRNA". From Rfam's summary of the family: Transfer RNA (tRNA) molecules are approximately 80 nucleotides in length. Their secondary structure includes four short double-helical elements and three loops (D, anti-codon, and T loops). The record is from RNAcentral. RNAcentral also lists the same sequence under 3 other names. Lineage: Bacteria; Candidatus Magasanikiibacteriota.
UCGGGGAUCGUCUAAUGGUAGGACAACAGAUUCUGGAUCUGUUUAUCUUGGUUCAAAUCCAAGUCCCCGAGCAA